GUACCAUAGAGUAGAACCAGCCCAGGAGAAAGAAGUUUGCUGCAGUCAACAACGAUGAAAAAGGAGUUAGCAAUUUGAAAACUGCUUUGACAUCAGUCAUGGAGAUGCAGAGUUUGGAGUUUGCCCAGAUUGUUUCCUGCCUUGCUUUGGCUUUUGGUAUCAGAGUAACUAUGGCUUCAUAAAAUGAAUUCACAUUGAUCUAGGGAAAAAAAAUUCCUGAACAGAACACCAAUGGCUCAGACUCUAAGAUCAACUAUUGAUAAAUUGGAUCUCAUGAAACUAAAAAAAAGAUUCUGUAAGGCAAAGGACACUGUCAAUAGAAGAAAAGAGCAGCCUACAGAUUGGGAAAAGAUCUUCACUAACUCUACAUCUAAUAGGGCUAAUAUCCAAAAUAUAUAAAGAACUCAAGAAGUUACACUCCAAAAAGCCUAAUAACCCAACUAAAAAAUGGGCUGCAGAGGUAAACAGAGAAUUCUCACCCAAGGAAUCUUGAUUGGUGCAGAAACACUUAAUGAAUGUUCACCAUCCUUAAACAUCAGCAAAAUGCAAAUCAAAACAACACUGAUAUUCGGCCUCACACCAAUCAGAAGUGCUAAGAUCAAAAACUCAAGUGACAGCAUAUGAUGGAGACGAGGUACAAAAGGAGAAACACUCUUCCAUUGCUGGUGGGAUUGCAAACUAAUAUAAGUACUCUGGAAAUCAACCCGAUGGUUCCUCAGAUAACUGGAAAUAGUUCUACCUGAAGAUCUCCUAUACUACUCCUGGGCAUAUACCCAAAAGAUGUUUCACCAUACCACAAGGACACUUGCUACACUAUUUUCAUAGCAGCCGUAUUCAUAAUAGUUGGAAACUGGAAACAACCCAGGUCUCCUCAAACAAAGAAUAGACACAGAAAAUAUAACUCAUUUACACAGUGGAAUAUUGUUCAGCUGUUAAAAUUGAGGACAUAAUUGAUUUUGCAAGUAGACAGAUGGAAAUUGAAAAUAUCACCCUUAGUGAGGUAACUGAUACCCAAAAGCACAUGCAUGGUAUGUACUUACUGAUAAGUGGAUAUUAGCCAACAUUACAGAAUACCUAUGAUACAAGACACAGACCAUAAGAAGUUUAACAAGAAGAGAAGGGCCAAGUGCAGACAAUUCUAUCCCACUUAGAAAGGGAGACAAAAUAAUCAUAGUAGGCAGAGGGAAGGAACUGUGUGGGAGACGAGAUGAAGGGAUAAAAGGGGCAGGAUCAGACACAGAGGCAGAAGACAAGAGAGAAGCCCGGAGAGCCAGGAGAAAUAUUCAGCAGUGGGGGUGUGAGGUAGGGAGGAACCUCUAGAAAGUCCCAGAGACUUAAGAUGUGAGAGGUUCCCAGGACUCAGUGGGGGGUGACCUUAGCCUAAAUGCCUAACAGUGGGGAGAUGGAACCUGAAGAGAUCAUUUCUAAUAGAUAGAACCCCCAGUUAAGUAUGGUAUCGGCAACCUACCUUCAAAAUUUUUGACCCAGCAUUCUUCCUAUCUAAAAGAAUUGCAGGAGCAAAAAUGAAGCAGACACCGAAGGAAAGGACAUCCAGUGACUGGCCCAACUUCGUGUCCAUCCCAAGGGUGGGCCUUAAACACUGAUACUAUUACUGAUGCUAGGUUGUGCUGGCAGACCAGAACCUAGUAUGGAUGUCAUCUGAGAGGCUCAACCAGCAGCUGACUAAGACGGAUGUAGAAACUUACAGCCAAUUGAUAAGAUUGAGGUCAAGAACUCCUAUGGAAGAGUUAGGGGAAGGAUUGAAAGAGUUGAAGGGGAUGGCAACCCCAUAGGAAGACAAAUGGUGACAACUAAUGCGGAGCAAUGGGAGCUCCCAGACAGUAGGCCACCAACCAAAGAGCAUAUACAUGGACUUCUCUGAGGCUCCUGGAAUAUAUCCACCAACAAAAUGCAUGUACAGGCUGGUCUGAGGCCCCUAAAAUAUAUGUAGCAGAGGAUUGCCUACUUGAAGGGACUUGAAGAGAAGUGGGAUGCCUGGGGAAGGGGGUGAAGGGGGAGAGGGGACACUCUCUUAUAGGUAAAGGGGGUUGAACAUGGGAAGGGAGACUGUGAUGGGGCACAAUAUAACAUUUGGGAUGUGUAUUACAUAAAUGAAUAAAUAGAACAAAAUUUUAA
Molecule: non-coding RNA, 2136 nt
Organism: Rattus norvegicus (Norway rat)
Lineage: Eukaryota; Metazoa; Chordata; Mammalia; Rodentia; Muridae
Source: RefSeq, a predicted model, not a curated record